UGACGAGAUGCUUGGAGAGGAGAAUUUUGAUUUAGAAGAUUUUUGAUAUAUUUUAUUUUUAUUUAAAAAAUAUUAUAAUAUAAUUUGAUCAAUAAUAUAAUUUAAGUAUUUAAAAAAUAUUUCUAUAUUAUUAUUGAGUUUUAUAUAAAAUUUUUGGUCCUUGCAAGUUUUAGUUUGAGUAAUUAUAUAUUAAACUGCGUC
This 201-nucleotide long non-coding RNA is filed under the name Elaeis guineensis (African oil palm). Its description in RNAcentral is "long non-coding RNA (EGUI_LNC032395)". Lineage: Eukaryota; Viridiplantae; Streptophyta; Magnoliopsida; Arecales; Arecaceae. The record is from RNAcentral.